Molecule: ribosomal RNA, 253 nt
Filed under: uncultured bacterium
Lineage: Bacteria
Description: partial 16S ribosomal RNA
Rfam family: Bacterial small subunit ribosomal RNA
Source: RNAcentral
UACGGGGGGGGCAAGCGUUGUUCGGAAUUACUGGGCGUAAAGGGCUCGUAGGUGGCCAACUAAGUCAGACGUGAAAUCCCUCGGCUUAACCGGGGAACUGCGUCUGAUACUGGAUGGCUUGAGUUCGGGAGAGGGAUGCGGAAUUCCAGGUGUAGCGGUGAAAUGCGUAGAUAUCGGAAGGAACACCAGUGGCGAAAGCGGCGCUCUGGACCUCUUCUGACGCUGAGGCGCGAAAGCCAGGGGAGCAAACGGG